RNAcentral lists this ribosomal RNA (253 nucleotides) under uncultured bacterium. RNAcentral describes it as "partial 16S ribosomal RNA". It matches the Rfam family "Bacterial small subunit ribosomal RNA", at positions 524 to 776 of the family's 1533-position model. The record is from RNAcentral.
UACAGAGGGGGCAAGCGUUGUUCGGAAUUACUGGGCGUAAAGGGCGCGUAGGCGGCCUUCUAAGUCGAACGUGAAAUCCCCGGGCUCAACCCGGGAACUGCGUCCGAUACUGGAAGGCUUGAAUCCGGGAGAGGGGGGUGGAAUUCCCAGUGUAGCGGUGAAAUGCGUAGAUAUUGGGAGGAACACCGGUGGCGAAGGCGGCCCCCUGGACCGGUACUGACGCUGAGGCGCGAAAGCGUGGGUAGCAAACGGG